CAGGAAGUCCAGGGAAGGGGACCCAGGAAGUGACAUCACCUCCGCGAGAUGACAGGGCACACAUGACCUCGGAACCCUGGUCCCCAGGCAGUUGGUUCUGAACCAAACCUGACCCAGCUCACUUGCCUGGUGGGCCUGGACCCGGCCCCACGUUUUCUUGCUGUUUGCCCAGGUCUCCCCGCAGUGGACCCAAAAAAGGUCCACGAAACUCGUGUCACACUCUGCCGAAAGGCAUGAGGAGCCUGUGCGUACGCCUCGGGCCAGCACCAGCACUGCCCCUGAGGAGGUCUUUUGUGUCCAGGAAGGUGAAGAGAUCCAGAGAGUGCAAUUCCCCGACUGUCCUCCCACAGCCCAGUGUGGGAUCUGUCCCAGCACAGAGCCCAGGUUGAAGUGCACCUGCAACUUUGAGAUUGGGGCACAUGUCCAAAGGAACUGGCUGCAGUACCCGAAAUCCCUGGAGGAGCCGUCCGAGGGUAUCACCGUCGAGGGACUGGAGAGAAGAGUUCUGGGGAGAAAAGACGGAAACCUCACACAUAGCAGGCUCCGGAGUCUCCUCUCCUCUGAGCCCUGCUGCUCUGACUCCUCACAGAGCAUCUCAUCCCAGAACGCCGCCCUCCAGAACCCCCAACUCUGCCCACCUCAGC
This is a long non-coding RNA of Talpa occidentalis (Iberian mole), 644 nucleotides long. RefSeq lists it as uncharacterized. NCBI's taxonomy places the organism in Eukaryota, Metazoa, Chordata, Mammalia, Eulipotyphla, Talpidae. The transcript is spliced from 3 exons. The record is from RefSeq and is a predicted model, not a curated record.